UACGGAGGGUGCAAGCGUUAUCCGGAUUCACUGGGUUUAAAGGGUGCGUAGGUGGGCUGGUAAGUCAGUGGUGAAAUCUCCAGGCUUAGCUUGGAAACUGCCAUUGAUACUAUCAGUCUUGAAUACCGUGGAGGUCAGCGGAAUAUGUCAUGUAGCGGUGAAAUGCUUAGAUAUGACAUAGAACACCAAUUGCGAAGGCAGCUAGCUACACGAAUAUUGACACUGAUGCACGAAAGCGUGGGGAUCAAACAGG
RNAcentral lists this ribosomal RNA (253 nucleotides) under uncultured bacterium. RNAcentral's name for it is "partial 16S ribosomal RNA". It matches the Rfam family "Bacterial small subunit ribosomal RNA", at positions 524 to 776 of the family's 1533-position model. The record is from RNAcentral.